RNAcentral lists this long non-coding RNA (1143 nucleotides) under Human betaherpesvirus 5. RNAcentral's name for it is "RNA5.0". Lineage: Duplodnaviria; Heunggongvirae; Peploviricota; Herviviricetes; Herpesvirales; Orthoherpesviridae. The record is from RNAcentral.
AACACCCACAAACAACGUCACGACGCAACGUGGUUAAACAGUACGUUUAUUAAAGUAACUGGGUGAACGACACCGGAGCGGACUGCAAAUCGCAACGCUACUUUCUCGAGUGCAGAUACUCUUCGAGACGGCUAAACAACGUGUCCAACUCGCUGAGACCUUUCCGCGUGCCGUUAUCCGAUUUCCUUUCCGCCUCCUGAGACAGCCGACUAAUCACGGACUUAUCUCCGCAACCUAACAGAGGCUGGGAGCCCGACAAAAGUAAAACAGCGUGCUAUGAACACGUUGUUACCUCUGCGCGGACAGCGCCGCCACAGAGACACUUACGCAUUGCCGCAUGUCUUUGUAGAUGGAUUCUAGCGUCGAGCGCAUACUAUGCAAUUCCGUCUUAAGUCCGGGAUAGACGUGGUCGCCUGCGGGGAACACGAUCUCCAGAUACCGCCUCAACAACCAAUCCAUGACGCUGCAUCCCCAACAGCCUUUGACCACCGUACCGUCGAGCCACACGGAGUAGUCGUCCUCACGUUGCUACAAGAGGAAAACUACGUCACCCGACACGCGGAAAAGAAAGACCGUCGCAAUAAACCGUACCUACGUGACCUACCAACGUAGGUUUUACUCGAUGAAAGGUGACGCGGAGAUCUUGCAAUCUGGUCGCGUAAUCCUCCGGACGACACUGCGGCUUUGUAUUCUUUAUCGUCGUCGUCGCCGGCUUCGCCUCCUCGGAAGCGCCUAGAAAAAAGACGAUCAGGACCAGAGAGGAAGAGACCAUCACCGACAGCAUCGCCGCAGCAUGCCGCCCCAGUCCGCCGCCCAACUGCGCGUCCCAGGUACCACCCGUAGACUGUCAGCCUCGCGAGGAGACACCGCGGACCGGGGAAACGGAUAAGUUUACGAACAGAAAUCUCAAGAGAAAGACGCUGACCCGAUAAGUACCGUCACGGAGACACGGUGGUUUUUAUUGAAUUUCCAGUGUAUCGAGCCACCGUGAUGCAGGUACGGUGGUUUUAUGUAAAGUGUCGCUAUCUAUAGGCGAUGUGUUCCCUGACGGUGUGUGUUUUUUUGGGGAUAGACAACGUGGUUCUUGUACGUGGUUUUUACCCUGCUCAAUAAAGUCACGUUUUCCUUACACGGUGUUGUGUC